This 464-nucleotide ribosomal RNA is filed under the name uncultured bacterium. Its description in RNAcentral is "partial 16S ribosomal RNA". It matches the Rfam family "Bacterial small subunit ribosomal RNA", at positions 28 to 507 of the family's 1533-position model. The record is from RNAcentral.
GACGAACGCUGGCGGCGUGCUUAACACAUGCAAGUCGAACGGAAAGGCCCCUUUCGGGGUACUCGAGUGGCGAACGGGUGAGUAACACGUGAGUAACCUGCCCUUGACUUCGGGAUAACUUCAGGAAACUGGGGCUAAUACCGGCAAGGAAUCCUUGCUCCAUGGUGGGUGUUGGAAAGCUUCGGCGGUUUUGGAUGGACUCGCGGCUUAUCAGCUUGUUGGUGGGGUAGUGGCUUACCAAGGCUUGGACGGGUAGCCGGCCUGAGAGGGCGACCGGCCACAUUGGGACUGGGGUACGGCCCGGACUGAUACGGGAGGCAGCGGUGGGAAAUAUUGCACAAUGGGCGGAAGCCUGAUGCAGGAACGCCGCGUGCGGGAUGACGGCCUUCGGGGUGUAAACCGCUUUCAGCAGGGGCGAAGCUUUUGUGACGGUACCUGAAGAAGAAGCACCGGCUAACUACGUG